GUAAAUGAAUCUUCAUCAAUUUUCAUUUUCUCUAGUCUUUACAAAGAAAUUACUCAUGAAAUCCAGUAUUGAUGAAGAAGAAGGUGAUAUUAAUGCCGCAAUUACAAAGGGUCUGCCUUCUUAGAGAAAUCAAAUCAACAGAAUACCAAAAGGGAUUGUUGAUUUGCUCUCCCAAAUCAUUGUCAUGUUCCUCAUCUUCUUCGGCUUCUUUCAUCAUAACUUCACAUUGGGUCUGCAAUCAACAUUGAUCAUCUCUACAAUGUAAUUCACUCAUUUCUCAAGACAUCAUGAGAUCAGAAAUUAUCAAUAGAGCUAUUAUUGUAAUACUUAGCUCCAUUGGCUUCUUUGCAGUUUUUUAACAAGACAUUAGUCCGACUGGAUUACUUUGUUACUGUACUUUCCUCAAUUAAGGGGCUGUUCAAAAUGCUCAACUGCAGCAAGGGAAUUUUUCAGCUACAAAAAAUGGGAUUGAUGUUGUCAAGGAAAUUCUGUUGGCCUUUUUUUCUGAAUAAAAUUAUUUGCCCAAGAAAAUCCUUCUUUCCA
Molecule: long non-coding RNA, 543 nt
Organism: Neltuma alba
Lineage: Eukaryota; Viridiplantae; Streptophyta; Magnoliopsida; Fabales; Fabaceae
Exons: 2
Source: RefSeq, a predicted model, not a curated record